AAAAUAUGUGCUCUAUCCAGCUUGUACCCAUCAGUUUUCUCUUUGGCAAGCUCAGCCUCCUGGGGAGUGCCGUACUCAAUAAAGCAGUAACCUAAAGUUUUCUGUGUAGUAGGAUCAACAGGCAUCCAUAGACCAUCAUCCUUAAUGACCCCAAUCUGUCCAAAAAUUUUACGAACAACACCUUCGAGCUUCUCAAACUUCUCCGGAGGAACAACCGGAAGAUUGUCAACAACUAUAAUGUUUCCGAACCCAGAAUCAAACUCUAGACUCUCCUCUUGUAGAACUUCUUCAUCAUCACUAAUAAUUCCGAAAUCGUCACCAGGAGGUAGACGAAUGGCGUCAAAAUCAACUUGGGAGAGAUCUAUCCCAAGCCGACCAGCCGUAUCCUCAAUCUCCUUCAUCAGCAUCACGUCCGCCAUGACGAACGAACUAGCUCUGUCGGCGGCAAGAGUCAGGUGAGCGGUAGAUCUUUCAAAUUAUGAGAAGAACAGAGAGAUGCCAGCGUUGGAGAUAGCAGAAAAUCGGCGAGGCCGAGAGGGAAGGCUGGGGUACUCCGGCAGCUGAGUGCGCCGGCAGCCGGUGAGACAGCGUCGGGGCAGGAACGGCGUGUCGGGGUUCAGUUGGGUGGUAAUGGGAGGGAGGGGAUGCCUGGACCUUGAGUGACAAUGGUUCACGACACCCUUGAGCGGUUGAGGAUAGAGG
This 702-nucleotide unclassified non-coding RNA is filed under the name Hevea brasiliensis (rubber tree). Lineage: Eukaryota; Viridiplantae; Streptophyta; Magnoliopsida; Malpighiales; Euphorbiaceae. The record is from RNAcentral.